GGCCUACGGGAGGCAGCAGUGGGGAAUAUUGCACAAUGGGCGCAAGCCUGAUGCAGCCAUGCCGCGUGUAUGAAGAAGGCCUUCGGGUUGUAAAACCCUGUUGUUAGGGAAGAACAAGUGCUAGUUGAAUAAGCUGGCACCUUGACGGUACCUAACCAGAAAGCCACGGCUAACUACGUGCCAGCAGCCGCGGUAAU
Molecule: ribosomal RNA, 197 nt
Filed under: uncultured Bacillota bacterium
Lineage: Bacteria; Bacillati; Bacillota
Description: uncultured Firmicutes bacterium partial 16S ribosomal RNA
Rfam family: Bacterial small subunit ribosomal RNA
Source: RNAcentral